Molecule: ribosomal RNA, 324 nt
Filed under: uncultured eukaryote
Lineage: Eukaryota
Description: partial 18S ribosomal RNA
Rfam family: Eukaryotic small subunit ribosomal RNA
Source: RNAcentral
CCCUUAGAUGUUCUGGGCUGCACGCGCGCUACACUGACAUACUCAGCAAGUUUCCUUGCCUGAAAGGGUUGGGUAAUCUUGUUAGUGUAUGUCGUGAUGGGGAUAGAAUAUUGUAAUUAUUGCUCUUUAACGAGGAAUUCCUAGUAAGCGCAAGUCAUCAGCUUGCGUUGAUUACGUCCCUGCCCUUUGUACACACCGCCCGUCGCUCCUACCGAUUGGGUGAUCCGGUGAGGCUUUGGGAUCUGAGCGGAAAGAGCGUUUCGCUGUUUCUGCUCGGAAAACUCAGUCGAACCUUAUCAUUUAGAGGAAGGAGAAGUCGUAACA